This 357-nucleotide ribosomal RNA is filed under the name Ixodes ricinus (castor bean tick). Its description in RNAcentral is "partial large subunit ribosomal RNA". Lineage: Eukaryota; Metazoa; Arthropoda; Arachnida; Ixodida; Ixodidae. The record is from RNAcentral.
GAUUAAACAAUUAAAAGCUUUCUUUAAUUAAAUAAUUGAAUUUAAUUUUUUAGUGCAAAAGCAAAAAUAAAAAUUAGGGACAAGAAGACCCUAUGAAUUUUUUAUUAAAUUUUAUAAAACUUUAUAUAAAAUUUAAUUUAAUUGGGGGGAUGGAAAAAGAAUAAAUAUCUUUUUUUUAAAAGAAAAUUGGUUCCGUUUUUAGCGAUUAAAUGAAAAAAAUACUCUAGGGAUAACAGCGUAAUAAUUUUGGAUAGUUCAUAUAGAUAAAAUAGUUUGCGACCUCGAUGUUGGAUUAGGAUUCUUUUUUGGGGAAAAAGUUAAAAAAAGAAGUUUGUUCAACUUAUAAUUUCCUACUUG